AUGAACGCUGGCGGCGUGCCUAAUACAUGCAAGUCGAGCGAACAGACGAGGAGCUUGCUCCUCUGACGUUAGCGGCGGACGGGUGAGUAACACGUGGAUAACCUACCUAUAAGACUGGGAUAACUUCGGGAAACCGGAGCUAAUACCGGAUAAUAUAUUGAACCGCAUGGUUCAAUAGUGAAAGACGGUUUUGCUGUCACUUAUAGAUGGAUCCGCGCCGCAUUAGCUAGUUGGUAAGGUAACGGCUUACCAAGGCAACGAUGCGUAGCCGACCUGAGAGGGUGAUCGGCCACACUGGAACUGAGACACGGUCCAGACUCCUACGGGAGGCAGCAGUAGGGAAUCUUCCGCAAUGGGCGAAAGCCUGACGGAGCAACGCCGCGUGAGUGAUGAAGGUCUUCGGAUCGUAAAACGCUGUUAUUAGGGAAGAACAAAUGUGUAAGUAACUAUGCACGUCUUGACGGUACCUAAUCAGAAAACCACGGCUAACUACGU
This 495-nucleotide ribosomal RNA is filed under the name uncultured bacterium. RNAcentral's name for it is "partial 16S ribosomal RNA". It matches the Rfam family "Bacterial small subunit ribosomal RNA", at positions 29 to 506 of the family's 1533-position model. The record is from RNAcentral.